GAUGAACGCUGGCGGCGUGCCUAAUACAUGCAAGUCGAACGCUUCACUUCGGUGAAGAGUGGCGAACGGGUGAGUAAUACAUAAGUAACCUGGCAUCUACAGGGGGAUAACUGAUGGAAACGUCAGCUAAGACCGCAUAGGUGUAGAGAUCGCAUGAACUCUAUAUGAAAAGUGCUACGGGACUGGUAGAUGAUGGACUUAUGGCGCAUUAGCUUGUUGGUAGGGUAACGGCCUACCAAGGCGACGAUGCGUAGCCGACCUGAGAGGGUGACCGGCCACACUGGGACUGAGAAACGGCCCAGACUCCUACGGGAGGCAGCAGUAGGGAAUUUUCGGCAAUGGGGGAAACCCUGACCGAGCAACGCCGCGUGAAGGAAGAAGUAAUUCGUUAUGUAAACUUCUGUCAUAGAGGAAGAACGGUGGAUAUAGGGAAUGAUAUCCAAGUGACGGUACUCUAUAAGAAAGCCACGGCUAACUACGUG
Molecule: ribosomal RNA, 482 nt
Filed under: uncultured bacterium
Lineage: Bacteria
Description: partial 16S ribosomal RNA
Rfam family: Bacterial small subunit ribosomal RNA
Source: RNAcentral